Molecule: long non-coding RNA, 1787 nt
Filed under: Homo sapiens (human)
Lineage: Eukaryota; Metazoa; Chordata; Mammalia; Primates; Hominidae
Description: HSALNT0331763
Source: RNAcentral
CUCUUUUUGAUUUGAUUUGAUUCUCUGCUUGGUCGCUGUUGGUGUAUAGAAGAGCUACUGAUUUGUGUACAUUAAUCUCAUAUCUAGAAACACUGCUAAAUUAUUUUAUCAGUUCUAGGAGCUUUCUGGAGGAGUCCUUAGGGUUUUGAAGGUAAACAAUCAUUUCAUCAGCAAACAGAAGGCCCACCAACGCUGGCCGGCCUCCAAGCACCCGGGCCUCUGCUCAUGUACAGCUCCUGAACUGCCCUGCCUCUGAGUUACUGUGGAAAAUGAGCUUAUAUAUGAAGAAGUCAGCGAGUGGACAAAGCCAGGCGCAAUGGAUAGCAAAGAUGUGGAAGUCUCCUCGAUUCAAGUUACAAGAAAACCGCAGCAUGGAGUCUGCUCUCAGCUGUUGGGGAAUUACCGAUGCCUUUGACUAAGUCAAGACUGACUUUUCCAGAAUAUCACCCAAGAGAUAGAGCCGUCCCUGUCCAAGUUUGUGCGCUAGCCCUUCAUGGAGGUCAGAGAGGAAGAAACAAAGGCAGCUGUGGCCUCGGCGGUCACAGUGUCAGAACGCACAAGCCCCAUAAAGAGGUUUCACGCAGGCCACCCAUCCCUUUUCAUUCUCCAGCAGAACAGGACAGAGAGCGUUCUGUUCUGCGGAAGGUCUUCCACUCUACAAGGCAAUCCCUCCAGCUGCUUUGCUGUAUUGUGCUGUCUCCUGUCACACUAUGAAUGCAGUGACCUCAGCCAGCAACAGGGAGAACCCCCCUGCCUCCCGAACAAAGGACCUCACGUGAAAUCCUGAGCUCAGAGCUUACAGAUAUGUGUGCGCUUUCACUUUACAUCGGCCGUGACUUCCAAACAACUUCAGGAAACUUUAGGAUCUCUGAGGUAUACUGGAGAUGACAGCAGCGUAGAAUGUUCAUUUGGAUUUAGAACAGAAAUGCUUAUUUUAUAUUUGGCUGCUCCCAAACUGUCCCCAGACUUCCUCUCCAGUGGUUACCCUCCACUGCCCUGGAUGUCCCACGUUUACACUCCACACUCACACCUCCACCUUAACAAAGUCCUCCACUGGGUCAAACCAUACAUCGCUUCGUCUCUGUAGUGAUGACUUCCUGUCCUCUGCUCUGUGGAUAAAGACCCCAGAUAAAGAUGCCUGUGUUGCUCAACUCUUGUAAAUACUCUUGAGACAUUUUGAAAGCAGAAGGAAAGGAGACAGACGGGGAAAAUAAAAGGGAUGGUCUGCUUGUGCGGAAACGUUUUGAGAAUGCCCUUCCCUAAGAGAGAACAGUAAAAGUGAGCAAUACUUCCUGAGCUGUGGGUUCAUAUGGCUGGACUGUGCUGUUUCUCACGGGAGAAGUUCUCGUCUCCCCUGCGUGUACAUCCCUGUUUGCCAGCCUGGCCUUCGGUGUGGUGAUAUCAUGGUGCACUCCCAGGAGGGAAGUGCUUGGUCAAGACUUCUGCUUGGGUUCGACUAUCAGUUCUGGUUUCCUUUAAGGCACAGGAUCUUCCCUUUAAGGCACAAACACCCCCUUGACACAAAGUAAGGGACAAGGGAACUUUAAACCAUUUGGAAACCCAAGCACAAUAGGCUGUAGGUUGUAAAAAGAAAUUACAAAGGUAAUUUUAUCCAGAAGAGGGAGCAGUUUAACUUCUGCAGGGUGGUGCCUUUAGGAGGUGACUGGAUUAUGAGGGCACCUUCCUCAUGAAUGGGAUUGGCCCCUUAUACGAGAGACUUCACAUGAGAUUUGGCCCCUUUUGCCCUUCCACUUUCCACCAUUGAGGACGCAGCAGCAAGCUGUCAU